RNAcentral lists this transfer RNA (75 nucleotides) under Clostridia bacterium. RNAcentral describes it as "tRNA-Thr". It matches the Rfam family "tRNA". Rfam says of the family: Transfer RNA (tRNA) molecules are approximately 80 nucleotides in length. The record is from RNAcentral. RNAcentral also lists the same sequence under 1 other name. Lineage: Bacteria; Bacillati; Bacillota; Clostridia.
GCUGGUGUGGCUCAAUGGCAGAGCAGCGGUAUCGUAAACCGCAGGUUGCAGGUUCGACUCCUGUCACCAGCUCCA